This is a long non-coding RNA of Bombina bombina (fire-bellied toad), 359 nucleotides long. RefSeq lists it as uncharacterized. The transcript has 2 exons. NCBI's taxonomy places the organism in Eukaryota, Metazoa, Chordata, Amphibia, Anura, Bombinatoridae. The record is from RefSeq and is a predicted model, not a curated record.
UGGAAACAACAGAGCUAGAAUAUAUAAACCUUACAAUACUGGAAAAGCCUGUGCCAAAUGUCAACAUGGCUGUGACAGAACCCUUUGCAAACCUCAAUCAUAAAAAGAAAUCAUUCAACACAUUCAACUUUGAUUCAAAAGAAGAAAAAUAAGAUUAAUAAAAUUACCAAAUGUAGACAAUUGCUUUAAAAAAAAUCACUGAUUAUAUUUACAGGUAUGAACUGUGGUCUAAAUACAAUUUUGCUUUGAAAUCUUUGGUCACAAUGUGUAUUUAUCAGAGUUUUUAGCAGAUAAACAGAAUUGUUUGUGUUGCUUGUUUUUCUUUACGCUAACAAAUAAAUCAACUCUUGAUUAACCAA